AGCAAUUCCGCAGGGCAUCUGACCUCCACUGUUGACUUCUACCCAGAGGACAAGAACAUUUUUAGUUCCCAAGGAAUGUACAUCAGCCCCACGGAAGCUAGGCCACCUCUGGGAUGGGGUUGCUGGUUUAGAACAAACGCCAGUCAUCCUAUAUAAGGACCUGACAGCCACCAGGCACCACCUCCGCCAGGAACUGCAGCAGAGAAAGGAGUCGAAGAAGCCACCAGCCAAGCUGCAGCCCCGAGCUCUAGCAGGCUGGCUCCGCCCGGAAGAUGGAGGUCAAGCAGAAGGGGCAGAGGAUGAACUGGAAGUCCGGUUCAACGCCCCCUUUGAUGUUGGAAUCAAGCUGUCAGGGGUUCAGUACCAGCAGCACAGCCAGGCCCUGGGGAAGUUUCUUCAGGACAUCCUCUGGGAAGAGGCCAAAGAGGCCCCAGCCGACAAGUGAUCGCCCACAAGCCUUACUCACCUCUCUCUAAGUUUAGAAGCGCUCAUCUGGCUUUUCGCUUGCUUCUGCAGCAACUCCCACGACUGUUGUACAAGCUCAGGAGGCGAAUAAAUGUUCAAACUGUA
This 570-nucleotide long non-coding RNA is filed under the name Homo sapiens (human). RNAcentral describes it as "non-protein coding lnc-GHRL-3:4". The record is from RNAcentral. Lineage: Eukaryota; Metazoa; Chordata; Mammalia; Primates; Hominidae.